This 200-nucleotide unclassified non-coding RNA is filed under the name Tuber sp. RNAcentral describes it as "partial internal transcribed spacer 2". Lineage: Eukaryota; Fungi; Ascomycota; Pezizomycetes; Pezizales; Tuberaceae. The record is from RNAcentral.
UUAAGUUCAGCGGGUAUCCCUACCUGAUCCGAGGUCAACCCAGAGUUCAUCUUAGAUGGAGGUCCAUGGAGGCCAGGUCCGAACCUUGCGCAGGACUGGUUUUUGUCUUCAAAACAGCUACUAAGUCCCUUGCACAGGCUAAUUGUCCUGCCUAUGCAUUUCGACAGAGUGAUCCGGGCACAGUUGUAGUCCCAGUUCAC